RNAcentral lists this ribosomal RNA (427 nucleotides) under uncultured bacterium. Its description in RNAcentral is "bacterial SSU rRNA". It matches the Rfam family "Bacterial small subunit ribosomal RNA", at positions 355 to 774 of the family's 1533-position model. The record is from RNAcentral.
UGGGGAAUCUUCCGCAAUGGACGAAAGUCUGACGGAGCAACGCCGCGUGAGUGAUGACGGCCUUCGGGUUGUAAAGCUCUGUUAAUCGGGACGAAUGAUUCUUGUGCAAAUAGUGCGAGGAUUUGACGGUACCGGAAUAGAAAGCCACGGCUAACUACGUGCCAGCAGCCGCGGUAAUACGUAGGUGGCAAGCGUUGUCCGGAAUUAUUGGGCGUAAAGCGCGCGCAGGCGGAUUGGUCAGUCUGUCUUAAAAGUUCGGGGCUUAACCCCGUGAUGGGAUGGAAACUGCCAAUCUAGAGUAUCGGAGAGGAAAGUGGAAUUCCUAGUGUAGCGGUGAAAUGCGUAGAUAUUAGGAAGAACACCAGUGGCGAAGGCGACUUUCUGGACGAAAACUGACGCUGAGGCGCGAAAGCCAGGGGAGCGAACG